RNAcentral lists this transfer RNA (66 nucleotides) under Marmota monax (woodchuck). RNAcentral describes it as "tRNA.Ala". Lineage: Eukaryota; Metazoa; Chordata; Mammalia; Rodentia; Sciuridae. The record is from RNAcentral.
GGUUGUGGCUCAGCGGCAGAGUGCUUCCCUGGCAUGUGUGAGGUCCUGGGUUCAAUCCCAGCACCA